AUAGAGUGCAAUAGUAAGUUUCAUUAGAUAAAGGAGUAUAGCAUAGCAAAACAAAAGGAAGAAAUAGAAAAAAACUCUCUAUUUCUAGUGAUGAACCCGUUCGGCUGCGAAAACUACAAAACCCAAACCUCAAUGGCUCACCAGCACAAGCAUUCUAGGCUCCAACUCGACUACUCCAAAAGCAAUAAGAAACGGCCAUCACAAACCCCAACUACCCCACACCACACCAAUCGAAAAACAAUCACAAACACACACAUCCCAUCUACAAUAGACUCCAGGGUUGGAGUUGGGAUGGUGGACGAACUCCUAUGCCCAACAAAUGUCGGUGAUGAGAGCAACAACUCACAAGAAGCGACCAAAAACUACAACAAAAUAUAAAUCCAAGAUAGAAUAGAGAAAAAUACAACCCCCAAAUUUGCUUACGACAAAUUGAUAGAUAAAUCUAGGGCCACAAGAGGGCCAGGAAAACCACAAUAGGGUUGGUUCCUUGGGGCCACCCAUAGGCCGUGCCCAAUUUUGGUGUUCAACUUAGGCCGUUAGAUACAGAGGUCUACGAAAACCUGAAGCAACAACCAUGACCAAAGAGACCGAAGACAGGAUUCCGUGGGGGAGAUCUCAUCUUGGGCGUGGCGUUAACCCACUUUUGGAAGAAAAGAGAAGAGGAAAAAAGCAAGAGAGUUGACAACGAAGAAGAGAUCAGCAAAGGCGGGAAGGAAUGGAAAAGCAAAGGGAGGGGUGGGGUGGAUCGAAGAGACGAACAGCAGGAGGAGCAGAAAGAGGGAGGAGGGGGAACCUCCAAAACUACAAAAGGAAACACUAACAAAGAAGCGAAAGAAAGGGAGAGAAGGAAAAAAAAGAAAACGCAGAAGAAUUAGGGAUGAGGGGGAACAAACCUAGAAAUUCCUAGAGAGAAGCAAUGUAGAGAGAGAAAGGGAGAACGAGGAAACCAAAGAAGGAGAGAUGCUGGCUGCACACAGUGAAACCUGCUUGCUAGGCUCUCGAUCAGGCUGCAGGAGGCUGGACCAGCUCGCAGGAUGCUGGAUCUGGUUGAAGGUGAAAGGAUCUGGCUUACUUGAUUCUAGAAGUAGCCUGUUGGUUGCUGGAUCUGGCUUGGUUGGGGUUUUGAGCUAAAAAAUGAUGAAUGUUUUCUCUUGAUCUCACCUAAAUUUUGUUUUGAUGCGAAGGAAAAUUCCUGGAAAUCAAUGAGUGAUGAACAAAUUGUGUGAAGAUCCACCAAAGAAAUGAGAAAGGAAUUAAAUUUUCAUGUUUUGGUUUUUGUGAAGCAAACCAGCAAAUAAAUGAGAGAGGAAUUAAUUCUUAAUGUUUUGGUUUUGUGAAGAAAAAAAAAGGGUAAACCGGCCAAUCAGUAGAUGGACUUGGACAAAUUUCCAACAAGGAAAACUGGCAUAUCAUCCAGUAGGAUUUCUGAGACCUCGGUUGUGUGCUGAUGCCAGAUAUUUUUGUAUAAAUAUUUAUUAAAGAGAAAUGACACCAUAUUUAUUUGUUUUACUGGAGCAUGUAAAUGUUUAUUUCGACCGUGGUGGUCAAUAGUUAAGUUUUUCUUAUUAUUGGAAAAAUAAAACAAAAAGAGAAAGGUAGUUAGAGUGGGAGAGAAAACCAACCAAACUACCCUUAAGGGGUGGGUUGAUGGCAAAUAUAAUUACUAGUGCUUAAAAAACCUGCAAUGCAGAUUGGAAAUUGCCAUUCUGUAAUAGGAGUUGGCCGGGAAAGUGUUGGUCCCAGCCCUAUUCCCCC
RNAcentral lists this long non-coding RNA (1755 nucleotides) under Amborella trichopoda. Its description in RNAcentral is "long non-coding RNA (ATRI_LNC000863)". The record is from RNAcentral. Lineage: Eukaryota; Viridiplantae; Streptophyta; Magnoliopsida; Amborellales; Amborellaceae.